This 3767-nucleotide long non-coding RNA is filed under the name Homo sapiens (human). RNAcentral describes it as "RPAP3 divergent transcript (RPAP3-DT)". Lineage: Eukaryota; Metazoa; Chordata; Mammalia; Primates; Hominidae. The record is from RNAcentral.
AGCCUGGGCUUGAGCGCGCGCAGAAGUCAGCUUCGUGACUUCCUUCUCAGGAUGGAACCAGCUUGGUGGCUUGAGGGAAAGGGGUUCUGAGUUGCAAAUCAGAAACUUGAAGAUGAAAUGGCUACUACGCUGGGUAUUGCCUUUAUCUUGAAUGCCAGCCUGAUGGUCCAAGGUGAACAAGCCUUCCUGUGUUUUCUGAAUGUGCAGUUCCCCCGCACUUUGCCUGCCACCAUGUAAGAUGUGUCUUUGCGCCUCCUUUGCCUUCCACCAUGAUUGUGCGGCCUCCCCAGCCAUGUGGAACGGUGUCUGGGGUCUGUCAGGAUCAACAGGCCUUGAGAGAGACUGACCCAGAGGACUACUAAAAGGGACACCUGCCCAGGCCAGCCUAUUCUACCAUCCUCGUUCUCCUGCAAAACCAAGGCCACGUCAUUUCAGCAGAGGACCUGCGUGUGGAAGGACCCUGCAGCUGGCCCAUCACAGGAGAGGCCCAGACUCACCUCCCAAGGGGACCCUGGCACAUGAAGAUGCUGGUUCUCCUGGGAGUGCUGCCCUGGCCCACAGGAUAGAAGCGCAGGAUGGUCACCCAUGUCUGCUCUUAUUGAAUGUGUCUUAGAAGCGGCUCCAUGUGUGAUUUCUUUCCCACAUUGGUUAGUAUGGUGUAUACCACGUUUGUGUUCCCAGGCUUUUGUUUAAGUUUGUGGGCAGCCCUGACAUCAGCAUCACACUCAAUGCCUGGGCUGAGCAUAUCCGUCAGACCUCCCAACUAGGCCCACUCAUCACAUAGUCCCAUGCUGCACUUCUAGUUCUGCCAGCCACACCCCAUGCUGGUCCUCAGCCUGGAACACCCUCCCCCACCCUCCCUGCUCAGCUGUCCAGCUCCUACUCAUCCUCCGGCCCCAGGGCAAAUUCACUCUUCCACAAAGCCUGACCUCUCUUCAGCCCACAGGAUCUCUCCUGCCUAGGAGCUUGGUUGUGCAUAUUUGUCCUGUGUGCCUUUGACACAGCACAGUCAUCUCUGACUGCCAACAUCUGUUGCUGCCAACAUGGUAUCAGUUAACCCCUGCACUGCCAUUUAACUUUUCCUCUGAAGUUCUUUGAGAAGGGGACCCUGCCUCAUGGGCCCUUUGUAUUGCCAUCCAAUGUGUGUUAGAAUCUAAACAGUUAGAUAAUUAUCAACCUGUGCCUGAGACCUGCAAUGAAUCAAUAUGUAAAUGAAUCAGGGCACUGGUCAGUCUUCCAGCCCCACUUGAUAUUAAAGACUCAGUGAAGAUGGUUAGCAAAGCAGAGGACAGCAAAUGGGUCUCCGGCAGCUGUGAAGCACCAGAGUUUAUCCAAAGGGGGGACGUGGGGUCUAGAGACUCAUCUCAAAGUUGCAUUUUCAUAACAAAUACACUGGGUUUUUUUUUUUUUUAGCUAUAUUGUGUAUUUGUUGGGGCCUAAUGGAAAUUUAGGAGGACCUAAACCCCCAAGCCACCCUUGGCACCACCCCUACAAGGGGCAGCCACCACAGGGACUGGACAGUUCCAGCAGUUUCUGAAUCCACAGUGUCACAGAGAUCUCAGCUGUAUCCUGCUUUUUUAGGAUCCCAAAGGAACCAUCUGCCUACACUCUUUGCCAGCUGUGCUAAUGUUUGUUUUACACUGCCCAGUAAUGAUUAUAAAAUUACUAUUGCAUGUCCUCAAACUCCACUGGCUUUAAAGAGGGUCUAGAGGCACAAUGAGAACAAGGAGAUGUGGGCAAGACAGGCAGACAGCGAUAAGGAGGUUCAGAGAGACAGCGAGGGAGUGAGUAAGGGCGAGAUCAAGAGAGAGACAGGCCCGAGGCCAACCCGCAGCUGACCGCUGGCGUGAGGAACAUGGGCUGCCUCUCGCCCCAGGUAUGUUGGCACAGCUGGGCUGUUCUGGCCUCAAAGAUGAUGACAGGACAACAGGACUGGCAGGAGCGGUUCCUGACCCAUGAUUUGAAAUCUACAAUCUGUCAAAAUUACCAUAAUUAUUGUGCUAAGGUAGUUGGGUUAUGGGAAAUUCCCCCUUUCUCAUUCAUUCCUUCAUUCACCUGACAAAUAGCACUUGAAUGCCACUGUGUGCCAGACACUGUGAUAAGCAAAGUGGAUAAAGGGUGAGCAGCUCAGCAGCUGGAGAGAAAGAAAGACAUAAAUAAAGAGCGUCUACAGCCAGAUCUGGGCAGCAGGACAUGAGGCUCAGACUGUUGAUUCUAAAGCCAAGCUGCCUGGGUUUGAAUCCCAGCUCUGCCACCCACCAGCUGUACAAUCCUGGGCAAGUUCCCUGACCCCUCUGUGCCUCAAUUUCCCCCGUAGAUCUAAAAUAGAACAAGUAAGAGUACCUUAGAGGGCUAUGGUGAGGAUUGAAUAAGUUAAUCCUUGCAGAGGUUUUAGAACAGUGCCUAAUAAAUAAGGCCAGAUGUUUGUUGUUAAAAAAAAAAAUAGGGCCACGAAGGGCGUAAUUUAGAUAGGAUGGUUAGGAAAAGCCUGAAAAAUGAAUGUUAACAAUGUUCUGUGGCUGGGCGCGGUGGCUUACGCCUGUAAUCCCAGCACUUUGGGAGGCCGAGGCAGGCAGAUCACCUGAGGUCAGGAGUUCAAGACCCGCCUGGCCAACAUGGUGAAAACCCAUCUCUACUAAAAAUACAAAAAGUAGCUGGGCGUGGUGAUGCACAUCUGUAAUCCCAGCUACUUGGGAGGCUAAGACAGGAGAAUCGCUGGAACCAGGGAGGUGGAGAUUGCAGUAAGCCAAGAUCUCACCACAGCACUCCAGCCUGGGCAACAGAACAGGACUCCGUCUCCAAGAAAUAAAAAUAAAAAAAAUACAAAGAAAAGUGUUCUGGGCUGGGCGCAGUGGCUCAUGCCUGUAAUCCCAGCACUUUGGGAGGCCAAGGCAGGCAGAUCACGAGGUCAGGAGAUUGAGACCAUCCUGGCUAACAUGGUGAAACUCCAUCUACUAAAAAUACAAAAAACUAGCUGGGCGUGGUGGCAGGCGCCUGUAGACCCAGCUACUCAGGAGACUGAGGCAGGAGAAUGGCAUGAACCCGGGAGGUGGAGCUUUCAGUGAGCUGAGAUCGCGCCACUGCACUCCGGCCUGGGCGACAGAGCAAGACUCCGUCUCAAAAAAAAAAAAAAAAAGUUCUGAAAAUGACAAUAGUGAGAAGGUGGCAGCUCCUCUAAUCUACAGUCUCUAUAAUGUAAUAUUUAUUUUAUAAUUCCAAAGAUAAUAUUUUCAUUUAAAAAACGUGCACCCUCGGUAUUUUCAAGUCUUGGGGAUGGCCCUUUGAUGAGUCGCACUGUCUAACUCACCUGGUUUGGUGCCAAAAGGAACCACCUGUUUUCUGGGGCUGUGGCCUGCAGCCUUAGGAACAGUGCUUUGCUCUGGGGGAAGCUAAAAGUUGCAAUGGGGCUAAGCUAAGAGCAGCAACUCCAUGGCUCAGCCUCCUGAGCCUUGUGCUCUAUUUGAUGAGAUAAUCCACAGCUGCCUGGUGCAAAGUCAAGAACCGGAGAAGAGAAACAGAGAUUGCUGACCUUCUCCGUGGGCCACCAGAGUCCAGCCUGCAUGUGCAGGCUCUCCCUCCAGCACACAGGUUGCUCCUGCAGGGCUCAGCCCCAGCAACGCUGAGAGGGUGAAACUGGCCACCUACCUCUCCCUCUGAUUCCCACCCUGGAUGCCCUGUGUCCCAGGACCCCUGUAACAUUCUCCCACCCUAAGUAAUCAUCUCUGGACCUUGCCACCUGAUCAUGCCAUUAAAUUCCCCUAAUGCCA